Molecule: ribosomal RNA, 484 nt
Filed under: uncultured bacterium
Lineage: Bacteria
Description: partial 16S ribosomal RNA
Rfam family: Bacterial small subunit ribosomal RNA
Source: RNAcentral
AUUGAACGCUGGCGGCAGGCCUAACACAUGCAAGUCGAGCGGAUGAAGGGAGCUUUCUCCUCGAUUCAGCGGCGGACGGGUGAGUAAUGCCCAGGAAGCUGCCUUGUCUUUGGGGAUAACGUCACUAAACGGGCGCUAAUACCGCACACGUCCUGAUAUAGAAAGUGGUGGAUCAUCGGACCACACGCUAUCAGAUGAGCCUACGACGUAUUAGCUAGUUGGUGGGGUAAGGGCUUACCAAGGCGACGAUCCGUAACUGGUCUGAGAGGAUGAUCAGUCACACUGGAACUGAGACACGGUCCAGACUCCUACGGGAGGCAGCAGUGGGGAAUCUUGGACAAUGGGCGAAAGCCUGAUGCAGCCAUGCCGCGUGUGUGAAGAAGGUCUUCGGAUUGUAAAGCACUUUAAGUUGGGAGGAAGGGCAGUAAGUUAAUCCAUUGCUGUUUUGACGUUACCAACAGAAUAAGCACCGGCUAACUUCGUG